RNAcentral lists this ribosomal RNA (158 nucleotides) under uncultured fungus. Its description in RNAcentral is "5.8S ribosomal RNA". It matches the Rfam family "5.8S ribosomal RNA". Rfam says of the family: 5.8S ribosomal RNA (5.8S rRNA) is a component of the large subunit of the eukaryotic ribosome. Lineage: Eukaryota; Fungi. The record is from RNAcentral.
UCACUUUCAACAAUGGAUCUCUUGGCUCUCGCAUCGAUGAAGAACGCAGCGAAAUGCGAUAAGUAAUAUGAAUUGCAGAAUUCCGUGAAUCGUCAAAUUUUUGAACGCAAAUUGCACUUCUUGGUAUUCCGAGGAGUACACAUGCUUGAGGGUCAGUG